CCGGCCGGGGAGUCAGCGGUGUCCUGUAACCUGCAAUCCGCUACAGCAGGGGUGGUUUCCUUUACUGAGGGCUGAAUACGUACGGUCUGUGCUGUAACAAAAGCGUUGACGAAUUGGCCUUGCGCAAUUGAAGACUGUGAACCAUGUCAGGCGGGGAACCGAGCAGCAUUAAGCAGUUACUUUGAUGUGCCGCAAGCAAGCCUGUUUUGAGCCGGAGCUGCAGUGUCGCGUAUGUGUUUACGUUCGAAGUUGGGUGU
RNAcentral lists this signal recognition particle RNA (257 nucleotides) under human gut metagenome. Its description in RNAcentral is "Bacterial large signal recognition particle RNA". It matches the Rfam family "Bacterial large signal recognition particle RNA". Rfam says of the family: The signal recognition particle (SRP) is a universally conserved ribonucleoprotein involved in the co-translational targeting of proteins to membranes. Archaeal SRP consists of a 7S RNA and homologues of the eukaryotic SRP19 and SRP54 proteins. The record is from RNAcentral.